Molecule: transfer RNA, 73 nt
Filed under: Bacteroidota bacterium
Lineage: Bacteria; Pseudomonadati; Bacteroidota
Description: Bacteroidetes bacterium (microbial mat metagenome) tRNA-Gln
Rfam family: tRNA
About the family: Transfer RNA (tRNA) molecules are approximately 80 nucleotides in length. Their secondary structure includes four short double-helical elements and three loops (D, anti-codon, and T loops). Further hydrogen bonds mediate the characteristic L-shaped molecular structure. tRNAs have two regions of fundamental functional importance: the anti-codon, which is responsible for specific mRNA codon recognition, and the 3' end, to which the tRNAs corresponding amino acid is attached (by aminoacyl-tRNA synthetases). tRNAs cope with the degeneracy of the genetic code in two manners: having more than one tRNA (with a specific anti-codon) for a particular amino acid; and 'wobble' base-pairing, i.e. permitting non-standard base-pairing at the 3rd anti-codon position.
Source: RNAcentral
UGCCCCGUAGCUUAACCGGCAGAGCACCUGUCUCUGGAACAGGAGGUUGGAGGUUCGAGUCCUCCCGGGGCAG